AGCAUUCUUCAGGGCAGGGUGAAAUUCCCGACCGGCGGUAAAGUCCGCGAGCAUUUUGCAAGAAUCGGUGAGCUUAGGUAAUUCCGAUACCGACAGUAAAGUCUGGAUGAAAGAAGAAAUUA
Molecule: non-coding RNA, 122 nt
Filed under: Catonella morbi
Lineage: Bacteria; Bacillati; Bacillota; Clostridia; Lachnospirales; Lachnospiraceae
Also listed under: 1 other name
Description: FMN sequence
Rfam family: FMN riboswitch aptamer (RFN element)
About the family: The RFN element is a highly conserved domain that is found frequently in the 5'-untranslated regions of prokaryotic mRNAs that encode for flavin mononucleotide (FMN) biosynthesis and transport proteins. This element is a metabolite-dependent riboswitch that directly binds FMN in the absence of proteins.
Source: RNAcentral